AGAAAUCAAGAUUAACAGAUUGCAGAGGCUCUGAAAAUGAGCUGCUCCCCAGGACCAGUGAUGGUACUGCUCUUAUUGUUUGGAGGAAGCAAUGGAGAAUCAGUGACCCAGACACAAGGCCAAGUGGCCGUGUUAGAAGGGGCUUCCCUGACUGUGAACUGUUCCUAUGAAACCAAAGGGUACCCCACCCUAUUCUGGUAUGUCCAAUACCCUGGAGAAGGUCUGCAGCUCCUUAUUAAAGUCUCUAAGGCCAAUGAGAUGGGAAGCCAUAAAGGAUUUGAAGCCAUGUAUGAUGAAGAAAACACCUCCUUCCACUUGAAGAAAGCCACAGUCCUAGUGUCAGACUCAGCUGUGUACUACUGUGCUUUGAGAGACACAGUGGCAGAAACCACAGGGGGAGCUGAGCACAAACUGAGCUGCAGCAGGAGCCUGGCUUCUAAGUUUUUGUUCUGCAAUAGUACUGGUUGGUAG
Molecule: non-coding RNA, 471 nt
Organism: Dipodomys spectabilis (banner-tailed kangaroo rat)
Lineage: Eukaryota; Metazoa; Chordata; Mammalia; Rodentia; Heteromyidae
Source: the annotation of a RefSeq genome assembly